Molecule: ribosomal RNA, 442 nt
Filed under: Tegula pulligo
Lineage: Eukaryota; Metazoa; Mollusca; Gastropoda; Trochida; Tegulidae
Description: partial 12S small subunit ribosomal RNA
Source: RNAcentral
UAAGAUGUGAGAUUUAAUUUAGAUUAACAAUUUACCUGAGUAUUACGGACUCUGUAAUUGUUAGAUUAUUAGAGUAAUCUAAAACUCAAAAAACUUGGCGGUGCCUUAAAUCCUUUCAGGGGAACCUGUCCUGUAAUUGAUAGUCCACGAUUUAUCUUUCCUUUUUUUGAAUUAAAUAAUCAGUUUGUAUACCGCCGUCGUCAGAUUACCUUUAAGAGUAAUAAAGUUAUCAAGUAGAGUAUUGUCGUGAUGUGAGUGUGUUUAGUUGCUCUAUCGAAUAUUUUCUAAACGUCAGAUCAAGGUGCAGCUAAUAAAGAGGAAGAGAUGGGUUACAGUAAUUAGAUAUUAUACGAAUCCUUUAUUGUAAAAUAAAUUCAAAGGCGGACUUGAAAGUAAUUUAUGAGAAAUAGAGAGUCUCGGUGAAGGUGGCUCUAAGGCGUGU